CCUACGGGAGGCAGCAGUGGGGAAUAUUGGGCAAUGGGCGCAAGCCUGACCCAGCAACGCCGCGUGAAGGAAGAAGGCCCUCGGGUUGUAAACUUCUUUUGUCAGGGACGAAACAAAUGACGGUACCUGACGAAUAAGCCACGGCUAACUACGUGCCUGCAGUCGCGGCAAUACGUAGGUGGCAAGCGUUAUCCGGAUUUACUGGGUGUAAAGGGCGUGUAGGCGGGAGAGCAAGUCAGAUGUGAAAUUCCAGGGCUCAACCCUGGAACUGCAUUUGAAACUGUUUUUCUUGAGUGAAGGAGAGGCAGGUGGAAUUCGGUGUGUAGCGGUGAAAUGCGUAGAUAUACGGAAGAACACCGGUGGCGAAGGCGGCCUGCUGGACAUUAACUGACGCUGAGGCGCGAAAGCGUGGGGAGCAAACAGGAUUAGAUACCCCAGUAGUC
This 443-nucleotide ribosomal RNA is filed under the name uncultured bacterium. Its description in RNAcentral is "partial 16S ribosomal RNA". It matches the Rfam family "Bacterial small subunit ribosomal RNA", at positions 338 to 795 of the family's 1533-position model. The record is from RNAcentral.